AUUGAACGCUGGCGGCAGGCCUAACACAUGCAAGUCGAGCGGAUGAAGGGAGCUUGCUCCUGGAUUCAGCGGCGGACGGGUGAGGAAUGCCUAGGAAUCUGCCUGGUAGUGGGGGAUAACGUCCGGAAACGGGCGCUAAUACCGCAUACGUCCUGAGGGAGAAAGUGGGGGAUCUUCGGACCUCACGCUAUCAGAUGAGCCUAGGUCGGAUUAGCUAGUUGGUGGGGUAAAGGCCUACCAAGGCGACGAUCCGUAACUGGUCUGAGAGGAUGAUCAGUCACACUGGAACUGAGACACGGUCCAGACUCCUACGGGUGGCAGCAGUGGGGAAUAUUGGACAAUGGGCGAAAGCCUGAUCCAGCCAUGCCGCGUGUGUGAAGAAGGUCUUCGGAUUUUAAAGCACUUUAAGUUGGGAGGAAGGGCAGUAAGUUAAUACCUUGCUGUUUUGACGUUACCAACAGAAUAAGCACCGGCUAACUUCGUG
Molecule: ribosomal RNA, 484 nt
Filed under: uncultured bacterium
Lineage: Bacteria
Description: partial 16S ribosomal RNA
Rfam family: Bacterial small subunit ribosomal RNA
Source: RNAcentral